RNAcentral lists this ribosomal RNA (447 nucleotides) under uncultured bacterium. Its description in RNAcentral is "partial 16S ribosomal RNA". It matches the Rfam family "Bacterial small subunit ribosomal RNA", at positions 29 to 523 of the family's 1533-position model. The record is from RNAcentral.
AACGAACGCUGGCGGCAGGCUUAACACAUGCAAGUCGAACGCACCGCAAGGUGAGUGGCAGACGGGUGAGUAACACGUGGGGAUCUGCCCAAUGGUACGGAAUAGCUCCGGGAAACUGGAAUUAAUACCGUAUGUGCCCUUCGGGGGAAAGAUUUAUCGCCAUUGGAUGAACCCGCGUCGGAUUAGCGAGUUGGUGUGGUAAAGGCGCACCAAGGCGACGAUCCGUAGCUGGUCUGAGAGGAUGAGCAGCCACCCUGGGACUGAGACACGGCCCAGACUCCUACGGGAGGCAGCAGUGGGGAAUAUUGGACAAUGGGCGCAAGCCUGAUCCAGCCAUGCCGCGUGAGUGAUGAAGGCCCUAGGGUUGUAAAGCUCUUUCGCCGACGAAGAUAAUGACGGUAGUCGGAGAAGAAGCCCCGGCUAACUUCGUGCCAGCCGCCGCCGUAA